UACGUAGGGUGCGAGCGUUGUCCGGAAUUAUUGGGCGUAAAGGGCUCGUAGGCGGUUUGUCGCGUCGGGAGUGAAAACCAGGUGCUUAACACCUGGCUUGCUUUCGAUACGGGCAGACUAGAGGUAUGCAGGGGAGAACGGAAUUCCUGGUGUAGCGGUGAAAUGCGCAGAUAUCAGGAGGAACACCGGUGGCGAAGGCGGUUCUCUGGGCCUUACCUGACGCUGAGGAGCGAAAGCGUGGGGAGCGAACAGG
Molecule: ribosomal RNA, 253 nt
Filed under: uncultured bacterium
Lineage: Bacteria
Description: partial 16S ribosomal RNA
Rfam family: Bacterial small subunit ribosomal RNA
Source: RNAcentral